Molecule: long non-coding RNA, 1314 nt
Organism: Gossypium raimondii (Peruvian cotton)
Lineage: Eukaryota; Viridiplantae; Streptophyta; Magnoliopsida; Malvales; Malvaceae
Exons: 3
Source: RefSeq, a predicted model, not a curated record
UGAUAGCCCACAAAGUAGACAUGAGCCUAUAAAACCUAAUCCAAAGAAAAUCAGAAAAACAAAAUCCAAAAGAAAAAUGAAGCCCAUGAAAAAAAACACAAUAAAUAAAUAAAAAAUAAAAUGAAAUGCCCCAAGACACUUCUUCAAUUAGUAAAAUAGAUGGCACCCACUCCUUAGAAAAUAUCCAAACCCUCAAAACUUGUCGGUACCAGCUUCCAAAAACAAGCAGCCUUCCAAAAUCAAAACCAUUUGCUGCUCAUUCCUCUCUCCAAAGCCUACCUCUUCUUCUUCUGUCAAUCUGGUUCCCUUCUCCUCCCCCAUAAUCUAUCAUUGAUGACCAUCGGAACAUUUCCAAUUAGGUAACUCUCUCUUCCAUUCUUUAAGCAAUCCGCGGCUAAACUAUGUGCUAGGAUAUUAGCAGAUCUGGGUAUGUGUUUGAGCUGGAUACUAUUAAAACUCCUUUUCAAUUGUUGUAUGUCCCAAAUAAUAGCCCCUAUCACUGAUUUAUCUCGAAUGUCCGACUGACUUUUUUUAAUAAUGGUUUUUGCAUCUCCUUCUAUGGUAACUAAUGAGAGGCCUAGAUGGUUUCCCAAAACCAAGGCCUGAAAGUAAGCAUAUCCUUCCGCUAUAAAUGGCGAAGCGAUCUCCUUGUGCAGUGUCUGUUUUGAAGCCAAAAUCUCACUUGGAGAGUUACGAACAACCACUCCAGAUCUAGAUCUCACCAAAAUUUGAUUACAAGCGGCAUCAAAAUUAACUUUAACAUCAGAACCUAAUGGGGGACACCAUUCCUCAUUAACAAUAGAUCUGGACUAGAUUUCUAUUUGUCCAGAUUCCUCAUAUGGCACAAUAAAAUAAUUUGUACUGGUCAUUGGAACUCAUUCGAAAAACCCAGAACAUUAUCUGAAAACAUGAUGCAAGGGCUCUGCUGCUCCACCACACUUGUGACACAGGACAUCUCUUCUAAUCCUUCUGUGUUGGAGAUUAACAAAAGUAGGCAAGAAAUUCCAAGUGGUUUUCCAUAGAUUAAUUUUUACUUUUGAAGGGAUUUUUAGAGAUCAUAGUUUUUUGUAUAGCUCCCUAGAAUCAUAAUGUGUAUAAUUAGGGUUAAAAGUACCUUUAUGUAAUAGUUUAUAGGAACUUCUGACAGAAAAUUCCCUUGAAGAUUCCCCCUCCAGACCCGUAUGUCUUCAAUCCCUUCUUUGGCCAAAGGAGUUCGUAAGAUUUUCGACGCAAUCUCUUCAAGAAAGGUACUAUUAAUUAGAUUUACUUUCCAUUCCCUAUCAUCUACAUCAAUGAAGUUAGAAACUAAGUUUA